RNAcentral lists this ribosomal RNA (460 nucleotides) under uncultured bacterium. RNAcentral's name for it is "bacterial SSU rRNA". It matches the Rfam family "Bacterial small subunit ribosomal RNA", at positions 29 to 507 of the family's 1533-position model. The record is from RNAcentral.
AUUGAACGCUGGCGGCAUGCCUUACACAUGCAAGUCGAACGGUAACAGCACUUCGGUGGCUGACGAGUGGCGAACGGGUGAGUAAUACAUCGGAACGUGCCCGAGAGUGGGGGAUAACGCAGCGAAAGCUGUGCUAAUACCGCAUACGAUCUACGGAUGAAAGCAGGGGACCGCAAGGCCUUGCGCUCAUGGAGCGGCCGAUGGCAGAUUAGGUAGUUGGUGGGAUAAAAGACUUACCAAGCCGACGAUCUGUAGCUGGUCUGAGAGGACGACCAGCCACACUGGGACUGAGACACGGCCCAGACUCCUACGGGAGGCAGCAGUGGGGAAUUUUGGACAAUGGGGAGACCCUGACCCAGCGACGCCGCGUGAGGGACGAAGGCCCUUGGGUCGUAAACCUCUUUUGCAGGGGAAGAAGAAGAUGACGGUACCUUGCGAACAAGUCCCGGCUAACUACGUG